GACGAACGCUGGCGGCGUGCUUAACACAUGCAAGUCGAACGGAAAGGCCCUGCUUUUGUGGGGUGCUCGAGUGGCGAACGGGUGAGUAACACGUGAGUAACCUGCCCUUGACUUUGGGAUAACUUCAGGAAACUGGGGCUAAUACCGGAUAGGAGCUCCUGCUGCAUGGUGGGGGUUGGAAAGUUUCGGCGGUUGGGGAUGGACUCGCGGCUUAUCAGCUUGUUGGUGGGGUAGUGGCUUACCAAGGCUUUGACGGGUAGCCGGCCUGAGAGGGUGACCGGCCACAUUGGGACUGCGAUACGGACCAGAAUCCUACGGGAGGCAGCAGUGGGGAAUAUUGCACAAUGGGCGGAAGCCUGAUGCAGCAACGCCGCGUGCGGGAUGACGGCCUUCGGGUUGUAAACCGAUUUCGCAUGUGACGAAGCGUGAGUGACGGUAAUGGGUAAAGAAGCACCGGCUAACUACGUG
This 468-nucleotide ribosomal RNA is filed under the name uncultured bacterium. RNAcentral describes it as "partial 16S ribosomal RNA". It matches the Rfam family "Bacterial small subunit ribosomal RNA", at positions 28 to 507 of the family's 1533-position model. The record is from RNAcentral.